CUAAAUCCAUUAUACACACCGAAAUUUGCAUGUCCACCUCCAGUGUCACAAGAGAUUGAUAAUUCAAAGUUGGAGGAAUUGUUUUCCAAGUUCGUAGCAGCAAAUGAGGAGAAUAUGAGUAAUCAAGUGAGGUCAAUUCAAAAUCUUACGGAUCAGAUAGAGCAAAUGACCAAAGCCAUAAGAAAUCUUCCUCUAAAUACUUGGCUUUAUG
Molecule: long non-coding RNA, 211 nt
Filed under: Panax ginseng (ginseng)
Lineage: Eukaryota; Viridiplantae; Streptophyta; Magnoliopsida; Apiales; Araliaceae
Description: long non-coding RNA (PGIN_LNC002354)
Source: RNAcentral